UUUGUCUCUCUCAACCGGCCUCGUUGGAUUAUGUGACUAUGCAACUUUGAUUAACCUAUUUUCUUCUCAAGAUUACAGUAUUGAAAGCCUCAGAUCAGCACGAUCUGCAUAAUAAUAAAAUAACCAGAGAAAUCAACUACUAAACAAUUGUAGCCAUGUAGGGAGAAAGGUUAGUAUUGUUGGCCGGUUCCUAUGAGCUCGCGGUAGAGAAUCAAGCUUGGCCCUAAGAGGUCUUAAUCAUCUGAUGCUAUUCUCAAACUGAGUAGGAGGCAAGAGAUGUGCUUUGUUGGUAAAGAAAAGACCAUACCUGUUUUGAAGAAGGGCAAUCAAAGAAAAUAUGUUGCUCAUUUCAGCAGCUGCAUUGGGAUAAAUUACAAUUCCAAACAAGAUGUCGGCUUUGACUUUCGAGAUUUGGAAAAGUUCAAUAAUGCCUUAUUGGCAAAAGAAGCUUGGCGUCUACUAACAUAUUCUAACACACUC
Molecule: long non-coding RNA, 480 nt
Organism: Brassica oleracea var. oleracea
Lineage: Eukaryota; Viridiplantae; Streptophyta; Magnoliopsida; Brassicales; Brassicaceae
Exons: 3
Source: RefSeq, a predicted model, not a curated record